Molecule: non-coding RNA, 55 nt
Organism: Salmo salar (Atlantic salmon)
Lineage: Eukaryota; Metazoa; Chordata; Actinopteri; Salmoniformes; Salmonidae
Source: Rfam
UGCAUUCCCUACUGUAAGUCGCUCUGGAUAAGAGCGUCUGCUAAAAUGACUAAAA